Non-coding RNA from Danio rerio (zebrafish), 716 nucleotides. The record is from RefSeq and is a predicted model, not a curated record. NCBI's taxonomy places the organism in Eukaryota, Metazoa, Chordata, Actinopteri, Cypriniformes, Danionidae.
CCCCAUCUCUCCAGCUGUAUCCAUUUCCUUCUGGCAAAAAGGGACUUUAUGAAUAAAUGAUACUGAAUAGCUGAAGGUUCAGAUACUAAAUAAUGAAUUUCACCACCAAAAAACACAACAACUUCUCCAAUCAUAAAAUAGCGCUCCCCUUCCAUAUUGAUUGUGCUUUGCUUUGGCAACCAGAUGCAGAGCAACACGGCCAGCAAGCAUCCAUGUGCGCGCGAGAGAGGCGCGGGAUUUUUUUUUAACACGAGUCCAAAAAGCGGUGCACGGAAAACCGGGACUCGUGCUCCAGAAACAGCGCCGCUCCCGCCGGCUUAUGGAGUGUAUAAACGCGCGCCUGGGAUGGAGAGGAGAAAUGCAGUGGAGGGAGUGAAGGAGGAGGGAGGGGAGUAGGGCGGGGGACGGGUUCAAUUCACCGAAAGAACUUCUUCACGGGACGCCUAAUUCACAAAGAUCGCCGGGACUCGUGCCCCUGCAGCUGGAUUUGGCUUACAGAAUGGAGAAAAGUUUGGAUGAUAAGAUGGGAAGACAGCAGACUGUUGGACAGGUGCACAGGUAUGACAGAGUGAGACGUCUCGUGAUGCGCACGUGGCCGCUGUUUGUAAACAUACUUGUGCACAAAAUAAAAUCAUUACAACUCUUUUUUUUUUUCUUCAGAACAAUUAACACGACAAACAACGUUGUGUCUUUAUGUGAAAACAGGCAUUAAACAG